Oncorhynchus kisutch (coho salmon) is the source of this 3665-nucleotide RNA transcript. It is a transcript of the gene named serine hydrolase-like protein, with no coding region annotated. The record is from RefSeq and is a predicted model, not a curated record. NCBI's taxonomy places the organism in Eukaryota, Metazoa, Chordata, Actinopteri, Salmoniformes, Salmonidae. The transcript is spliced from 10 exons.
UUUCGUAGGUUACAUAAGCAUGAAUAGUUGUUUCUAUUUCAUAGCUAACGUUUUAUUAUAUAUAUAUUUAAUAUAUCCAUGCUGUGGACGUAUAGUGCUUAUGUUUAGUUAACAACCCGACUUUGACGUUGGUCUUUCAGAAUAAUGCAAACUUUGAAAGGAGUCAGACACUUGAUGACAUCAGCUACCAUGAAACAAGCAGUGUCAGAGUUCAAUAUGCCAGUGCCGUGGGGAGAGAUAAGGGGCAAGGUCUGGGGUCCUGACCAUGGUCGACCAAUACUCUGCCUGCACGGCUGGGCAGACAACUGUGGCACUUUCAACACUCUCAUUCCACUGCUGCCAAAAGAGUGGACGUGUGUAGCUGUGGAUAUGGCUGGCCAUGGCCUCUCCUCCCAUAGACCUCCUGGAGUCUUCUACAGCUUUCCUGCUUAUGUGGCUGACAUACGGCGGGUCAUUGGAGCUCUCCAGUGGAAGAGAUUCUCUAUUAUCGGACACAGUAUGGGUGAGUGACUGUUCAUCUUCAUGUUAAUCUCUCUUCCACUCAUUGUGUUCUGAUCAGACAUUGUUGUUUUCCUUUCUGUACAGACAUCUGAUCAUGUGCUCUCCAUUGUACAGGUGGCAAUGUAGCUGGAAUAGUAAGCAUCUUUAAAAAAGAAGCAUGUUAAUGCUGUUUCAUAUCUGUGUCUCUUCGCAAUGAACAAUAUCCAGAGACAGUACCUGUGUAUGGUGUGUGUGUGUGUGUAACCAUGUCCUGUUGUCUUUGUCCAGUUCAGUGCGUUGUAUCCAGAGAUGGUGGAGUCAGUGGUUCUCCUGGACUCCUAUGGAUUCUUACCCACAGACGCAAAGGAAUUGCAUACGGUGAUAAGACAGGGAUUUGAAGGAAUGCUUGAGUUUGAGAAGAAGAAAGAUGAGGAGAAAGAGAAGGUUUACACCUAUGAGAACGCAUUGAUGAGGCUUUUGGCAGCAAACCCCUCUCUCUCUGAGCAGUCAGCCCACAUUCUUUUAGAACGAGGACUCUCUCAGGUUGAAGGAGAAAAAUGUUGUGCGUGUCAGUCUGGAGCAGAGUCUGGAGUUGCAGUCCAGGAUACAGGCCAGAGUUCUAGUAGUGCUGGCGGAGGAGGGGUUUGAGAAGAUGUUUUCUGAACCACAACAGAAGACAUUUACCUCAACGCUACUUCAAGGGUAUAAAGACCGAAGCGGCAUGGUGGUUAACGUACCUGGUGAUCAUCAUGUCCACCUGAACACCCCUGAGACUGUGGCCCAACUCGUCACUGACUUCCUCCAGAAAGAAGCUCCUUCACACAGCACUGCAGAGGAUACACAGGCAGCCAAGUUAUAAUGCCCUGCCCCUCCCCCACUGUGUUAGUUAGUGUUUACAACUCUCAGAUACAUGCAGUGUGCCUGUAGCCUUCCGGCUGCCAUCCAUCCAUUCAUAACAUGAGCAGUAUUAAAGGUAGACUCAGCGACAUGGUGUAGAUGCAGAAAGUAAAUAGCAUAGUGGGUACAUUUUCGCAACAAUUCCUGGUUAAUCCGUGAGCUGGACUGUUUGAGAGCAAAGUCUUGUAUCUCACUCAUCUCAAUAUCUGCGGUGCUGCCCGUGUCAACGUCAUUCGGCUGAAUCUACCCAUAAUAUGAGACUAGAUCAGUUUACAAACCUGUAGACACAGAAUAAAUUGCUACUUGUGCAAAUAGACAACUGUUGCAUAAACAGACUCUAAAGACUUUGAGACCAUAAUAUUUAUUAUAUUGUGCUGUAUCUAAAACACACCAAUACUUUUUUAACGGCAGUCUGUCGAGCUAGAAUACUUGAUGUUUACCAGUUUCUGUAUGUAAUGUCUUUUUAGAACUGGGCUGUUUUCUCCCAACUGAUGACCCAGUGAUGCCUUACAGUGCCUUGCUACUGGUCAGAACCUAUUGAAAUGCAUUCAUAUUUUAAUAAAUCACACAUUUUUAUUAAAAAAAUAAUUGUAUAGGGUUCAGCUUCACACCAAUCAGAUGCAGACCUACAUGUCCACUUCCUGGAUGUGGACAUGUAGAUGGAUUAGAGGUUGAUCUAUCAAGCUUAUCUUUCCUACAUAUGGCCUUAGAGCUGAGUAACAAUCAUUCAACUAAUUGGACAAAGGCUUCUUCCUGGUACAGUUUGACAAUAAAUAGGUCAUCCUUCCUGCUCUUCAGUCUUAUUUUAGUCAUUGUCUCAGAUAAAAGUAAUUGUCUCAGACGUCAAGAGAAAAAAACAUGACAUGUUGUGCUUUGUAGCUGAGCAGUCUCCUUAAAAGGAAAUCAUAUUGCUUCUGCCUGAGUGACGGAUAUGAAGGAGAACAUUACCCUCUUGCUCUGUGAUGGUUUGUGCAUUAAAUGAACUGGAAUCGAUUUCAUGCAGAGGCUGGAGGAGGCGACCGGAGACAUCUGAAGGGUCCUGGUCCAAAAAAACACCACAAUAACCGUUGCAUAACAUCUGCCUCCACCCAUCACUAGGGCUGUUGUCAUAGCAAUGCCCCCCUCCUCCCCUCCCUUUGAAUGUGACGUCAGAACCCAGAGCAGUAUGAUGAACCUCUCUGUCAUCUGUACAGAGAGAUCACCUUGGAUUAUAUUAUACCAUCCAGCUGACGGUUGUGCUGCAUUAGACCAAUACAUCAUCUGAUUAGUGACCAUUGCUCCUCCAUUUUACACUAACACCAUAUUCAGAGGAAGGCGGGCACAGCAGAGACCACAGUACCAUGUCCUGGAUGUUCCUUGACUGGUUCGUCCCCGUCUACCUGCUGGUGUCGGUCCUGGUGCUGGCUGGCUUCGGCGCCUGUCUCUACUUCCUCGAGCCAGGGCUUCAGGACGCACACAAGUGGAGCAACAAGACUGUGAUGCACCAUCCGCUGGUGGUCAGCUUGAACAGCAAAGACGAAGAUGGCAAUGCCCUCAUAUGAUAUGACCACACACACUACGGGAAGGACAGAAGCUGACCACAUGGAGUGGAGCUGCGACUGGAGGACCGCAGGAUGGUAGAUAGAGACAGACACCUCCUGAGAGGUUUGGGACGUGAGAGGCCUGACUGGGAAGAAACAGCAUUGAGAGGAAGGCACUGUGGUCAGGUGGUGCCACCCUUUGAAAUGUGAAAUAACAUUUUCAUAGAGAGGGGAAACAAAAAAUGAGGUCAUUUGAACAAAGUGUUAGUUCCUGUUUUCAUGUUCAUAUUUGUGCCAUUUCAUGAUUGUGCCAAUUUUGACAUGUAUUUUGUAACCAGACAUUCACUGCAUUUAUCAUGAUGUUUAUGUAUCUUAGUGCAUUUGAAGCUGACUAAUAAAGUGCAAUACAUUUCUAAAUGUUGAAACCACAAAAUCAGUUUUCUGAAAAUGUCAAUAUGGCAGCUGCUAUCAAGAUGUCUCUUGUUUGGAAGUAUUUGUAAAGGUGUUUGAAUGAAACUGUUGCUUUCAGUAAUGAUGUCAGAUAUGUGCCAAAUAGAUUGAUGAUUAAAUUGGUUCAAGAUGCGAAAAUAAUCCAUUCAGAGGUCGAUCCUAAGAAAACAUUUGUAUUUUAUUCUCAUCACGCUGCCCUUUUUUACUGAAGGGUGGUGGGAAAAAAGUAUGUAUGUAUCAUUUUGCACUUUUGACCAUGUUACCAUAAUUAUAUACUCAUAAGAACUAACAAAAUAAAUGGAUUUAUCACCACUUGAA